GCGACCGGCGCACGGGUGAGUAACGCGUAUGCAACUUACCUAUCAGAGGGGGAUAGCCCGGCGAAAGUCGGAUUAAUACCCCAUAAAACAGGGGUCCCGCAUGGGAAUAUUUGUUAAAGAUUCAUCGCUGAUAGAUAGGCAUGCGUUCCAUUAGGCAGUUGGCGGGGUAACGGCCCACCAAACCGACGAUGGAUAGGGGUUCUGAGAGGAAGGUCCCCCACAUUGGUACUGAGACACGGACCAAACUCCUACGGGAGGCAGCAGUGAGGAAUAUUGGUCAAUGGCCGAGAGGCUGAACCAGCCAAGUCGCGUGAAGGAAGAAGGAUCUAUGGUUUGUAAACUUCUUUUAUAGGGGAAUAAAGUGGAGGACGUGUCCUUUUUUGUAUGUACCCUAUGAAUAAGCAUCGGCUAACUCCGUGCCAGCAGCCGCGGUAAUACGGAGGAUGCGAGCGUUAUCCGGAUUUAUUGGGUUUAAAGGGUGCGUAGGUGGUGAUUUAAGUCAGCGGUGAAAGUUUGUGGCUCAACCAUAAAAUUGCCGUUGAAACUGGGUUACUUGAGUGUGUUUGAGGUAGGCGGAAUGCGUGGUGUAGCGGUGAAAUGCAUAGAUAUCACGCAGAACUCCGAUUGCGAAGGCAGCU
RNAcentral lists this ribosomal RNA (638 nucleotides) under uncultured bacterium. RNAcentral describes it as "bacterial SSU rRNA". It matches the Rfam family "Bacterial small subunit ribosomal RNA", at positions 91 to 726 of the family's 1533-position model. The record is from RNAcentral.